Molecule: ribosomal RNA, 657 nt
Filed under: uncultured bacterium
Lineage: Bacteria
Description: bacterial SSU rRNA
Rfam family: Bacterial small subunit ribosomal RNA
Source: RNAcentral
ACAGAUUAAGUGUUCCGCCUGGGGAGUACGGUCGCAAGAUUAAAACUCAAAGGAAUAGACGGGGACCCGCACAAGUGGUGGAGCAUGUGGUUUAAUUCGAAGAUACGCGAAGAACCUUACCUAGCCUUGACAUUGAUAGAACACCCUAGAGAUAGAGUGGUGCCCUUCGGGGAGCUUGAAAACAGGUGCUGCACGGCUGUCGUCAGCUCGUGUCGUGAGAUGUUGGGUUAAGUCCCGCAACGAGCGCAACCCUCGUCCUUAGUUGCCAGCAGUUCGGCUGGGCACUCUAAGGAGACUGCCUUCGCAAGGAGGAGGAAGGUGAGGACGACGUCAAGUCAUCAUGGCCCUUAUGGCUAGGGCUACACACGUGCUACAAUGGGGCGUACAGAGAGUUGCGAUACCGCGAGGUGGAGCCAAUCUCAUAAAGCGUCUCUCAGUUCGGAUUGGAGUCUGCAACUCGACUCCAUGAAGCUGGAAUCACUAGUAAUCGUAGAUCAGCAAUGCUACGGUGAAUACGUUCCCGGGUCUUGUACUCACCGCCCGUCACACCAUGGGAGUUGAUUUCACCCGAAAUUGGGAAGCUAACCUUCGGGAGGCUACCACUUACGGUGGAAUUAGCGACUGGGGUGAAGUCGUAACAAGGUAACCAAGGGCGAA